CCAAUUUGUCUGUGUCCUGUCCGUGUCCGGGUCGUUUGCUGAAAAAGGAGUACCUCUAUACCUAAUUUCAGCUGUUUUUUUGGCCUGAAAAUUUUUUGGUCUGUCUACUUAUAAGGAUAAGGAGAUUGGAUGUAAGAGGAACAGGAAGAAAAGAAUUCUCUCUCAAACCGGACUUUCCCAAAUCAAACUCUAUCAAACCGACCAGCAAAAUCUUGUCCAACAAAAUCCUCGUCCAGCCUCUUCGACAUACAGAAGUUGGAGACUAGAAUCCGUAUCCGUAUGUGAGCCAAAAAUAAUUUAUAAAAACAGGAAAUACUAGAGAGAUCUGAGAACCAAAUCGUAGGCCAUCAUGAUUUAGAUCGAGUCUAGAGCAAAAUACCAAAUCUAGGCUAUCAUAUAAAGAUUAGGAGAGAUCAGAGAACCAAAUCAAGCCCAUCACGGUUUAGAUCAAGACCAAAUAGAGUACAAUACCAAAUCAGAACCAUCAAAUAUACUUUAGAUCGAGACCAAACAUAGCAAACCGAGGCCAUCAACCAUGUAGCACAAAAAAUGAAGUAUAAACAGCCAGGGCCUCACCCGACGUCGUCUGCCACAAGGCCGCUAGCCGGCAACCUCCGCGCCCCCAUGGUUGGUCCCUUGCAGCCAAUGAGCCCGCGACCUCGAACGAUUGGCGGCCGGUGUGUAGAUACACCCUUCACCGGCUCUCCGCAUGCGCGGCACACUCGCGCUGCAGCCGGUUCCCGCUCUAGCUACUAGCGCCUGCGCGAUCGACGGCCAGCAGACCUACGCGGCCUCCGCACCUCGUGACUGUUUUCUCUGCGGGAGAGGGGGCUCGG
Molecule: long non-coding RNA, 836 nt
Filed under: Sorghum bicolor (sorghum)
Lineage: Eukaryota; Viridiplantae; Streptophyta; Magnoliopsida; Poales; Poaceae
Description: long non-coding RNA (SBIC_LNC018194)
Source: RNAcentral